This 75-nucleotide transfer RNA is filed under the name Deltaproteobacteria bacterium. RNAcentral's name for it is "tRNA-Val". It matches the Rfam family "tRNA". Rfam says of the family: Transfer RNA (tRNA) molecules are approximately 80 nucleotides in length. The record is from RNAcentral. Lineage: Bacteria; Pseudomonadati; Myxococcota; Myxococcia.
GGGCGUUUAACUCAGUGGAAGAGUGUCACCUUCACACGGUGGAAGCCGCAGGUUCAAAUCCUGCAACGCCCACAA